This 28-nucleotide non-coding RNA is filed under the name Rattus norvegicus (Norway rat). The record is from RNAcentral. Lineage: Eukaryota; Metazoa; Chordata; Mammalia; Rodentia; Muridae.
UNGGACUGCUUUGUAGACCGGGCUGGCC